UUAGAACGUCGGCCUGUCACGCCGAAGGUCACGGGUUCGACCCCCGUCCGCCCCGCCA
RNAcentral lists this transfer RNA (58 nucleotides) under Nitrospirae bacterium CG_4_10_14_3_um_filter_53_41. RNAcentral's name for it is "tRNA-Ser". It matches the Rfam family "tRNA", at positions 19 to 71 of the family's 71-position model. From Rfam's summary of the family: Transfer RNA (tRNA) molecules are approximately 80 nucleotides in length. Their secondary structure includes four short double-helical elements and three loops (D, anti-codon, and T loops). The record is from RNAcentral. Lineage: Bacteria; Pseudomonadati; Nitrospirota.